Molecule: long non-coding RNA, 768 nt
Filed under: Mus spretus (western wild mouse)
Lineage: Eukaryota; Metazoa; Chordata; Mammalia; Rodentia; Muridae
Description: lncRNA (ENSMSPG00010045808.1)
Source: RNAcentral
AGUAUCUUUUGGCUUUGUGAUAAUAACCACAACCUGAGGAUGAUCGGAUGAUGAGUGCGGUUUUGACUUGCAUUUCCCUGAUCCUGGAGUGGCUGCUCCCUGAAGAGAGUCCUGGUCCUAGGAAUCUGGGAUUCUACCUGAAGUCCCAAAGAUGAACAAAUGGUAGAGAGGCACCUGACUGAGCCUGCUUCCUAACCGACUUCUCAGAACUGCCUGCCGCUGGACUGCCUAACAGAAGCUCAAGUUCUGGGAUUCCACCCUUGAAGAGAAAUGAAUCUGCACUUAACUUAGUGAGCCCUGUAGGUCAGGACAUGUAGUUCUUGCUACCCUGAAGCUCACUAUGUACGACAGACUGGCCCGAACACACUGAGAUCUGCCUGGUUCUGCCUCCCCAGUGCUGAGAUCAAAGGCACGCGUAUAGUUAGGGUAUAGGACUUUUACUUAUAUGUUAUGGCUCUAGGUUUGUUUUCAUGGGAUUCCUGAUUGUGCCAGCAAUUGGGUCUCUGUGUCUACAUCUGUUUCUUUUGCCUUUUCUUUGACUCCCUUUCUUUUGUUUGUUUCUUUUGCCCUAUUCUGACGUGUUAGUUUUUGUUUUAUCUUAUUAUAUUUUAUUAUUAUUUUAUUAUUAUUCAUCAAGUUCCCUCUGUUUUCUAAAGAGAAACAGAAAGGUGGUGAAUUUGCAUGGGGUGGGAGACAUAGAAGAACUGGGAGGAGUAAAGAGAGAAGAGAUCAUAAUCAGGAUAUAUUGUAUGAAAAAAAACAGACCAU